AGAUGCCAACAUUGCUCUCAAGCUGUCAGUAUUUUUAUUUUAUGCGCCUGAGAUGCCAAUAUUAACUAUAGAAAGCAUAUUACAAGUGUAUAAGGAUAUUACAGAUGUUAUAAUAUUUCAGCAAUAUUUUUACAAAAUCAAUUUUAUUUUAGCUCAAUUAUAUGAUUUGGAAUAAAUGAUAUUUGCUAAGCUAACUUAUUCUAGCAUAGCAGGUUGGUACUAUUAAUUAAGUACCAAAACCUUAUU
RNAcentral lists this unclassified non-coding RNA (246 nucleotides) under Hevea brasiliensis (rubber tree). Lineage: Eukaryota; Viridiplantae; Streptophyta; Magnoliopsida; Malpighiales; Euphorbiaceae. The record is from RNAcentral.